AGUGAACGCUGGCGGUAGGCCUAACACAUGCAAGUCGAACGGCAGCACAGUAAGAGCUUGCUCUUACGGGUGGCGAGUGGCGGACGGGUGAGGAAUACAUCGGAAUCUACUUUUUCGUGGGGGAUAACGUAGGGAAACUUACGCUAAUACCGCAUACGACCUACGGGUGAAAGCAGGGGAUCUUCGGACCUUGCGCGAUUGAAUGAGCCGAUGUCGGAUUAGCUAGUUGGCGGGGUAAAGGCCCACCAAGGCGACGAUCCGUAGCUGCUCUGAGAGGAUGAGCGGCAGCAGGGGAACUGAGAGACGGUCGAGACUCCUACGGGAGGCAGCAGGAGGGAAUCUUCGGGAAUGGGCGAAAGCCUGACGGAGCAAUGGCGGGUGAGUGAUGAAGGCCUUCGGAUCGUAAAACUCUGUUAGUAGGGAAGAACAAAUGCGUAAGUAACUAUGCACGUCGUGACGGUACCUAAUAAGAAAGCCACGACUAACUACGUG
Molecule: ribosomal RNA, 492 nt
Filed under: uncultured bacterium
Lineage: Bacteria
Description: partial 16S ribosomal RNA
Rfam family: Bacterial small subunit ribosomal RNA
Source: RNAcentral